AGUUACCUCCGGAUCUAAACAGAACAGCUCUAUAUCCACCUCAACAUUGGAAAAUCGAUGGAGUUCUCAAUCCGCAGUACAAAUGCGGGCCACCGGUUCGGGUUGACCCAUCACAGUUCCCCGAUUCUAGCGGUCUGCCGGCAGUAACCUAUGCCAUCGCCAGUUGGCAAGUUGUCUGCAACAUAACCAAACCCAAAGCUCAGGCUUCAAGAUGUUGUGUCUCUUUCUCAGCAUUUUACAACAGCUCUGCUAUUCCUUGCAACACUUGCGCUUGUGGAUGCAAUGACAUUGAUACAACCACUUGCAAUGCUGACCGUAACCCACUUCUCCUCCCUCCAGACGCGCUCCUUGUUCCAUUCGAUAACCGAACCCUAAAAGCCAAAGCUUGGGCCCAACAAAACCACAUGCCAAUACCAAAGAAACUCCCUUGUCCGGAUAACUGCGGAGUCAGCAUUAACUGGCACGUUAACACGGACUACAGAGACGGUUGGACGGCUAGGUUAACCGUUUUCAACUGGAGAGACUUCGCUUUUGAGGAUUGGUUUGUAGCGGUUGAGAUGGGAAAAGCAGGUCCAGGGUAUGAAAACGUGUACUCCUUUAAUGGCACACGUGUUCCACCAAACAACAGAACCGUUAUGUUCCAAGGGCUACGUGAUAUGAACUAUCUUGUGGGUCAAGUUAACGGAACCCAUCCACUAAGAGACCCUCCCGUGCCGGGCAAGCAACAAUCUGUUAUCUCCUUUAAAAAGAAGAACAUCAAAGGACUGAAUAUACCAGAAGGUGACGGUUUCCCAACCAAACUUUUCUUCAAUGGAGAAGAAUGUGCGCUUCCAAAACAUUUCCCAAAGAAGAGCUCAGGAUAUAGACACGGUAUCAGUGUCUGGAUGUCACUUGUUCUCGCUAUGGCGGCGGCUUUUGCACUAAUGAUGGAUUAAUUACUAAAGUUAGCCUUAUUGGUCAGUUUGGUGUUUUGAUGCUGUUGCUGAAGAAUCAGAAGGAGCAGAUGUGGAAAGAUCUUUGUAAUAUGAUUGAUCUAUAUUGAAAAAAUGGAUAUGUUGUAUUAUACUUUUGUUUGAUCUUAGUUUUUAAAUUGGAAUUUUUUUCUUGAAAUAUCUCUUUGUUCUUUAUUACUAUAUCUGGAAUUAUUUAAAUACAAAAUCUAAGAUGCUGAAGCAAGGAACAAAAGCUGUUGACAGAAGAAACAAGUCACAUGAGAUUCCAAAUUAAAAACAUUUCUUGAAAGCAUGCAUUUAUGCUUUGCUUAGAAUCUGAGAAAGACAAGGAAAAGCUUCUCUGCAACAUUUCCUAAAAAGCCUCAUCUUUAUAUAAACUCACUAACCUUUCAUCAUGUGUCAUCAAUAACUAUACCACACUAAGUCCAAAUACAUCUCUCUAGCACAUCUUGAUUACACAUAACCUAAAGAAAAUGAUGCUUCGUGGGUUAAGUCUCGUGUGUUUUUCCAUGAUUGUUAACAAAGCCUACGCUAGAGAGUUUAUGGUCGGUGGUGCAAAAGGUUGGACCCUUCCUUCCGGGUCUCAAGUUAUGGGCAGAACAGAGCAGAUUCCAAGUAGGCGACUCUCUGCGUAAGUUUCCACACUGUACUUACCAAACAAUAACGAUAGUUUUUUUUUCAUAUGUAACACAAACAACAUGUAUAUAAUCGCAGUGUUCGUCUACCAACCAAAUCAAGAUUCAGUGUUCCAAGUCACAAGAGACGCUUACGACAGCUGCAACACUGAUGCACCAACCGCUAAAUUCGCUGACGGGAAAACAUCCUUCGCACUAACCCACUCCGGACCAUACUUUUUCAUCAGCGGAAACAAAGACAUCUUCUAGGGCAUGCAUAGGUUUUCGUUCUGUCAAAAGCCACCUUCUUUCUCUUGUUGUUAUUUCAGACCUAGGAACAAAAUAUAAAUAAAUCAAAAGCUUUAUACGUUUGACUGUAGACUUGUAGAUCAAGAAAAGAAGCAAAUAUAUUUUAAAUUUUGUAGAAAGAGGCAACGACCAGAACUCGGAGGAGAUGGAGCGAGCUGUCAAGAAGUUCCGUGGGAGAGGAUCAGAACUACAACAAAGAUUCGAUUUCCUUGUGAGUUUGGGUCUGAAUGAGAAGGAUGUCCGAAAUAUGGUGAACGCUUUCCCUCAGAUCCUGUGUCAAGCGUCUGAUCUCCUGGAAGCGAAGGUUAACUACAUUGUCAACGAGCUUGGUUAUCCGUUUUCGAUCUUUGUGACAUUCCCUUCGUGUCUAGUGUUUACUCUCCAGCGGAUGAAGCUCAGAUUGGGGAUGAUUCCGUUUAUGGAAGGUAAAGUAAAGGCAAUUAGCAGUUUGCUUGGGUGCUCGGACAAACAUUUUGUGUCUCACUAUGUAAACCGCCACCCUGAUGGGCCUAAACACUGGGAGGAUUUGAAGAAACAGAUUCUCUAUGAGUAGAACAACUAAUUUUCCUUGAUCCUNNNNNNNNNNNNNNNNNCUUAUCCAUUCUGACAUUACAGAACUCUAGACCAUUGUCUGUUCGUAGAUAUUUCAACCUUUUCUUGGUAGUGUUUUCAACAAGUACCUUCCAUUCUGAAAAAUUCUCGUAUACUUCAUCUUUGCUUCUUAGAAACCUUAUCCAAACCUUUCUAGAAUAGUCAUCAAUGAAAGUUAGGAAAUAUAUGCAGCCUGAUAAGCUUGGUUCAUUUGAGACUGAUCCCCAAAGAUCACUGUGUACAUAAUCAAGCUUCUCCUUUGAUGUGUGUCUGCCCUCCGGGAAACUUUGCUUAUGAGCUUUGCCAAAGACACAUUUUUCACAGAAAUCCAAAGUGUGAACUUCUUUUGGAUUCAAAUAACCUCCCUUAACCAAGAGAUUCAUGUUCUUCAAACUCAUAUGCCCUAGUCUGGAAUGCCAUCUAUUCGUUAGGUUUGUCUCAGCUCUAGCCACUGAUACUUCUCCUUUUAUGACAGAUCCCUGUAGAUAGUAUAAGCCAUCUUGAUAUUUUCCAGACAGUACUUUCUUACCUUCUCGAUAGAAGGUGACUUUAAAAUUUUCCCCUUCAUACUUGCAUCCAUUUUUCUCCAAUUGUCCGUAGGAGAUAAGAUUUCUGCCCAUUGUUGGCAUGUAUCUCACAUCACUCAGAAUGACUUGAGCUCCUUCAGAAUUUAUAAUUUUUAUUUUUCCAAUACCUUUGACUUCACACUGGGUGUUGUUUCCCAGUAAGACUUUUCCACCGUCUACUUCCUUGAAGUCAAAUAGUACCUCCCUCUCCGGUGUGAUAUGGAAAGUGCAGCCAGAAUCCAUUACCCAUUCCUUCAUAGGAUCGUGAGCGCUUGCGGUUAGGAUCAUGGGUUGCUCUUUGUCAUGAGCAACAUUAACAGAUUCAUUCGAUUUCCAGUUCUUCUUGUCUGGACAAUCUUUCUUGAAAUGACCCUCUUUGCCGCAUGUCCAGCAUUCUCUGGGUUUUCCUGAACCUCUUGGUCUUGACUUUGAUCUGUUUCUGCUUUUAGAUCUACCUUUCCAUUUACCUUGCGGUUUAGACUCUGAUCUUCCUCUUUCUGCUAUUAGACCUUCUGCAUUUGAUUUUGUUUUUCCAAUAAGUCCAGCUUCUUUUAACUCAACUUCUUUUGCAUAUGCAGAUGAGGUAACUUCUUGCAGUGUCAGAGUUUCUUUGCCGUUCCCGUACUUGAGAGUAUGUACUAAAGAAUCAAACUGCUUGGGCAAGCUUGACAGAACCUGUAUUGCUUGAUCUUCAUCGCUGAUUGUAAUGUUCAAGCUUUCUAGAUCAUCUACUAACCUCAAGAAAACAUCCAGAUUCUCUUCUACACUUCGAUGCUCUUCCAUCUUGAAACUAGCGAACCGUUGCUUUAAGUAGAUUCUGUUAGGUAAUGUCUUAGUUUGGUAGUCUUUUUCUAGUGCCUUCCAUACCCCUAGUGCAGUAGUCUGUUUCAUAACCUUUCGCAGCACCAGAUUACCAAGACUAGCACAAAUCAUGUUUUUAGCACGCUUGUCCAUCUCCUUCCGAGUAAGAACCCCUGUACCGGGUUUAGUCUCCUUAUUAUCAUCCUUGUAUGUGUCUGAUGUAGAACUAGUGUCUUCUUCAUUAAGCACACUGUCAAGAUCAGCAUUCUCAAGUUGCAUCUGCAUCUUGAAUUUCCACAUACCAAAAUCUCCUUUUCCAUCAAACUUUUCCACCUCAAUCUUGAUUUUAGACUUCUUCAUGAUCUCACCAACAAUCGUGAAAUCAACACCAGCUAGAGUCUAGGUUUAAUAACCACCAGAACGCAGCUAAGACCGCUGAAACCGUUCCUUUAUAAACCUAACCUGAGAGCUCUGAUACCACUUGUAAGGUCUUAGAUUGUAUUACUGUCUUAAACCUUAGUUCCUUAGCUAGAUUUGUUUAGCUAAUGCUUGAUCAACUAACCUUGAUACGAUUUGUUUGUUUGUUGUAUAGGAGACAAGACACAAAUUAAAGCUUUGGUUACCCAGUUCCCUUUGCGGUACGUCUGGGGGAAGAACUACGCUUCCAAUCCACUAUCUCAAGUACAAAGAGUAAUACAAGAGAAGUAAAGCUCUAAUCACUUCUACACCGAAUAAUAGAGCUAUGAACUAUAUAUCUAGUUCUUAUAACUUGAUUGUUGUAUGCUCAGGUAUGCUACGACGAUCUUUUAACCAAGACAAUCAACUUUCACCUGCUCUCCACAAUCUGAUGUUGUUGCCGUCCUCUUCAAGUCACCCAUCUUUUCCUCUUUUAUACGGGCAUCUCAAAUAACCCUAAAAAAAAUGGGCCUUGGUGUUGAGAAUCUUCGCAGUCCUUUAGUUAUGACUUGUGGGCUUUUCGGUUUAGCCCAUGAUGAGGAUCAGAGACAACUAACCCGACAACUAACCCGACAAUGUUUAUUUUUUUGUUUCUACAUAUUUGAUAUAUAUGUGAAUUUAAAAGGUAAAAACGUAAGUUCAAAUACAUAUAUCUUAUACUCAAAUGAAUGGAGAAAGAAUCAAUAAAAUAUUUAGGUUAUAGGUCAAAAUUAUGGAUCAAGUUUACAUUUUAGGUUAAAGCUUACUAUAUGUUAAUGUAUUUUCGUAAAUAUUAAAAUAUCGUGCAUGUAUGUCUACUAAUUCAUCUGUUGAUUAGGUUUAUUCCUGGUUAAAAUAUCGUGCAUGUAUGAAGAUAAUUUAAUUAGGUUUAUUCCUGGUUAAAAAAUAAAAUGGUUGGAAAAAAAAAAGAAUACUAAUGAUUGUGAAUCUGAGUCGGUGUAACGCUACUGUACGCAAUCGUCGCGUGUUUGGCGGCUACGCGGUUACUCGCUCAACACUAAACACCGCAUAAUCUCAAACAGAUGAAGAACACCCACUAGAGCGCCACCACGUGUCGAAGACUGUCUUAACGUCAGCCAAAGUUAAACGUAACCAGGCUUUCGCUAGCGUGUGUUUAUAUCAUUUCCAGAACUUCGGUCGUUCACCUUAGCAUUACGUGGCGGCGUUAAUUAACGGCCGAUAAUUUGUUGCUUUCGGAGAAGAAAAAGGAGAAAUGAUCAAUGUGGCUUAAAAAGUCUUCUGUUUUUAUUUUCUUUCAUCUUAAUUUUUUUUGUUUCUUGAUUACCUAUUUACAAAAUAUCACAAAAAAAAUAACACUCAAGAUAAAUAAUUAAUGUGACUGUGUGUUAUUUUGUGGAAAUACUAUGAAUAUUUAUUUUAGUAUUUCCACAAAAUAACACACAUUUUUAUCUCCAAAUUUUUUUUGUAAACUUCAAUUAUUUUUAUAGACAUUUGAUGAAAUUUUUUUUUUAAAAAAAGUACAUAAAGACAUAAUUGAUCAUAUGACAAAAAAUGAGGAUACCAGAUUUCAACAAUUUUUAGUUCGUAAUCAAAAAAUUAAAAAUAAAAAAAAUCAUUCCUUACUUUGAAAUGCACUAAUUGAUUAUAUAUGGAAAGCAUUAUAGUAUUAAUUUUAUGAAAUAGUGUAGUAUUUUAUUCGUAGUUAAUAUUUAAUAAUGUAUUUAUAUUUAUAAUUUUAUAUAUUGGUGUAAUAUUUUAUUAACUAAUAUUGAUGUGAUAAUUUUAUUAUAUGUGCUAGUUAUUUAGAAACUUUUAUAAAUUUAGAAUAAUUAUGAUAAAUAUAAAGAACAUAGUAUAAAAAAAAUUAAAUUUGAAGUUUUUAUUUUACAGAAUAACAGCUUUAAACUUUAAAUAUAGAUUUUUGUAAACUUCAAAAUAUAGAGUAUGUUUGGAGAUGUUGUAAGGCAAAAUGAAAUUUCAGAUUUGCUGUUAAUGCAAUUUUAAAAUACUUUCUUGACAAACAACUUUAUCCGUGAAGUUGUCGCAAAAGCAAGUUUUCAUUAAUUGACUCACAAUUAUUAGCGAUUAAGACAUGAAUUGAGGAGUACAUAUAACAAAAAGGGUUACUGAAAAUGAUUGUAUCAUAAUACUGUAUCAUACAGAUUAUAAGUUGAACCCUCAACCGAGGUCAACUUUACAAUAGGAUUUAACUAAAGUCGAUUUAUAGUUUGAUUGUUCGAUUAUAAGUUUAUAACUUUAUCAAAUUAAGAUAAAAUAAUCUUAGGCGUAAAACAAAACGAAAAGUAUUAAGUUUUAGUGUAAAUCAUACAUGUAUUGAGUGGUAUUUUAGAAAGUACUAUAUCAAGUAAAAGUUUUUGAAAUCUCUAAUGAUUAUAACGAAAAUCUUUUCUGGUGAGAAAACAAUUCCUGAAAAAAAGGAUGAGAUAAGUUUACAUGUACCUUGAGUAAUGUUUUUACAAAUUCUUGAUCUAUGUUUCGUUUACAUGACUAUCUCUAAUGGAGCAUUAUUUCUCCCUCUAUAUUUUCUUUUAAAAUAGAGUAUUAGAGAAAUUUAUUUUAAUGGUGUAGAGUUAAUCUAUUAUAAAGUUUCAAUAUACAUGAAUUUCUUUUUACUCUAUAAUAAAGUAAUUUAUAGAGUUAUACACCAUUGGAACAAAUGUAACUCUAUAGUAGAAUUAUUCUAUUUUAUAAGAAAAUAUAAAAGAAAAAUAUUGCUCUUUUUUUUUUUUUUUGAAUGAAUGUUAAAUUUUAUUCAUCAAAAAAGCCUUUUUACAUCAAAGUGUAGACCUUGGUAAAGAAAAUCCUAUAUUUAAACUUUGUAACUACUAACCCACCCAUGUCUCCAAAAUGUUCCCAAACCUCCAGACUUUCGAAACUCAAGUCCUAGUGCUAAACCAAUAUUGAAGGCCAGUCUCCAUGCCCUUAGCUCCUCCUGUUCUCAGUAGACUUAACUUGUUUCUAAUACCCUUAUCAAUAAGCUUCUUCACUGCAGUCACAGGCAUUGGGCUUUCUCCAUGCUUAAUCUUAUUCCUUUCACGCCAUAUCACAUAGAUGGCGAUUUGAAACCCAUAUCUCAAACAAAAGGAUCUCUUCUUAUCUCUAUCAGACUGUAUAAGCAAAUCCACAGUUGCAUUCCAGUCAGUAGUAUAUGAACCCCUAAGGAUGCCAAGCAUAAGAUACUCCCAUAUUUGAGAAGAGUAGGAGCACUCAAAAUACAGGUGACUUCGGGACUCUGCAGCAUUCUUACAAAGGGCGCAAGUAACAUCAACUCCACUAUUCCAUCUCGCAACCCUGUCCAUAGUAGUUAGCCUAUCCAGCAUGGCUAACCAAGUAAUAAAAGCAUAUUUAGGUGUAAUCUGCGAGAACCAGACAGCAUGUACCCAAUCAAUAUGAUCAUAAGAGGUACGAGUUAAAAACCAAGUCUCUUGGGUAGAGAACUUGUCUUUAAAACCCGAUCUUCUCCUCCAGAGACUGACAUCUUCCACAUUAACCCGCAACCUCUCUUUAACAGCAACCAUCUCAGACUCAAUGGCAUUUAACAACUCAGUACGAUGCCUUCUUCUACGUCUAACACAGAGAACAGCUUCAGCUACUACAGCUUCAGCUACUGUAGCUUCAUUACUAAUCCCCAAAUCAAUAACGCCUCUUGGCCCCAAAAUCUCAACCAGGACACCCUUAGUAGACCAAUUUUCAUACCAAAAAGAAGUAUUACAUCCAUUCCCAACUUCUUUUUUAUAAAAACCCUUUGCAAUAUUUCGAAGUUUAAUCAUUUUUCUCCACAUCCAAGAACCAGCCUGAGUGUCUUCUUUCACUUCCCAAAAACACUUCUUCUUCAGUAGGUUACGUUGUAACCAUUGCCCCCAUAAUGAAACCCCAGACAGCAACCUCCAAAUUAUUUUCAACCCAUAGACUCUAUUCACUUCUUUUAAUGAUCUGAUCCCCAAGUCACCCUCAGACUUUAGCUUACAGACAUCCUUCCAAGCAACCUUAGCUCCUGAGGAUUUAAGUGCCGGUCCCGACCAAAGAAACGAGGCACAUAGCUGCUCAACCUCCUUAAUACACUUAGUUGGUAAUCUGAAGACAGUAGCCCAAAAGUUUGCUAUACUCACCAACACUGCCUUGAUCAAUUGUAGACGACCCGCGUAGGAAAGGAAUCUACAAGUCCACAUAUUGAUCUUGCUACGAAUUUUUUCCACCAGAGGUAAAUAGUCUUGCCUUCUCAUAGACUUAGUCAUAAGCGGUAAGCCCAAAUACCUAACAGGGAGACUUCCUAUAGCAAAGGGGAAAUCCAACAAAAUUCUACUACGCUCAUCUGCUUAAACACCUGCCAUAUAGAGAGUCGACUUCUCAAUGCUAAUCUUUAGCCCUGACCACUUGGAAAAUUCAUCAAAGACUGAUAAAGCCCCCUCAAUAGAAUGCUUAGACCCCUCCACAAAGACCAUGAGGUCAUCGGCAAAGCAGAGAUGAGUUAAUGAGAUAGACUUACAACGCGGAUAUUCAAGACUUAUCUAAAGAGUGUUUUAUCUAUUUAUGAGAUAUAUAAAUUAAGAAUCUAUGAGAUAUAUAAGUUAAUAUUUUUCAAUGGGUGUAUUUUAGAAAACCCUUUACAGAUUAAGGUUUUGAAUAGCAAGCAAAUGAAUGAAGACGAAUAUUAAAUUUUGUAUCAUUCUUAAAAAAUUACACCAUUUAUGAAAAUCAAAUUUUAUAUCCAUUCUUAUCAUUCUUUUUUUUUAAGUUUUAAGUAUUACAGAACAAAUCUGUUUUUCACUAAAUUUGAAAACAAAAAAAAACAUUCAUAAUUUUCGUUUCUAUUAGUUUAUUCUUAUUCAUUCUUUUUGUUCGUUUUAGUGUUCCUAUUAUAGUUUCCGGUUAGACCUUAAAGUCUAAAAAACGAUGAAAUUGUAUAAAGAUAAUAAAUGUCAUAUUUCUUAAAGCAUAGGGUACAAACAUCAGGUCAUCACAACACAUUUCCUUGUCCUGUUCGAGUCGACAAAUCAUUAGAGGUUUUCAUUUCGUAAGUAAAAUAACAAAAACAGAAAACAAAGUUUGUUUCAUUUCGAAAACAAGCGAAGCGGUUUUUAGUUAACAAACAAAUAAGAAGCUAUGUUCCAAAAUUAGCAAUUGUCCUAAACACACAUUCUUACAUGUCCUCUCCGCGGGACCACCAAAUAAAACCAGAGGCUCAUAUCAAAGCUACCUAUUAAGAACCUCUUCUUGUCCAACCUUUUUCCCUUCUUUGAGUUAAAAUCUUUUGGAUUUUCAAUCUUUUUUACAGGUUUCUUCACACUGAAACCUUCAUCGUUUGAUUCUAUCAUCACCCUUGUCAAAGGCUUGGUUAAUUCCUUGUUUCUUUUUCUCUCGCUGCCUUGCGGUUGAAGUUUAAUCACAAGGCGGUGAGGAAGAAAGAGUAAAAUUCAAACGAUGAAGGUUUUCGAAGUUAAAACGGGAAUGAAGAUACCUUGGAAGGCACGCUAUUCAUUAACUCUGUUGAUUUUGUUAUCAUCAGUUCUUCUUCUUUGCAACGGCCAAGAUUAUGGAACACCGACCGAAGAUGGAGCAGGAGGAGGUGAGCCACCACCUGAGAUGGCGCGUUGCAACGGUAUUUUCAUGAGCUACAGCUUCGGUAGCCGCGAAAGAGAGUACCCUCACGUUAAGAACGUGACGGCGCAAUCAUGGGCGUUUAAAUCGUCUGCGAUGAUUGUAAACGCGGGGAAAGAAGAGCUCACGGGAUGGCAAAUGUUUAUAGGGUUUCGUCACAAGGAGCUGAUCGUUUCUGCGACUGGUGCGUCUCCAUUGGACGGAGAUUAUCCCCUGGAUGCUAGCAACGGAACCACGUUCGUUGGUUCUCCAAACACGGAUUUGAAAACCUCGAUUUUAACCGCUGGUGAUUUCACUCAGAUAUCGACCAAUAUCGAAAUCACCGGGACUCUUUUCGGGGUUGCAAAGGGGGUCACACCCAUGCCAAGAACACUUAAGCUCAUCAACGACGGUUGGGAAUGUCCUGCCGCCAAGAGAAAAGGUAAAAGAUCAUACUAACCUAGAUUUCUUGAAACACAAGUAACUUAUGUGUGCAUUUUGUAGGAUGUGUUUAACAACACAACGUAUAACUUUUAUUUUAUUUAUUUCAUUUCAUCAAUUAUAAUUUGGAAGUUCUUAAUGCAACGCAAAACAUAAUCUUCCUCUUUUUUUUGAAACACUCUUCCGUUCACAUUUGUAAUUUAUAAAGAUGUUCUUAUAAAAAUUGAAUGUGAUUUUCAAAAUGCUGGGUUUUAUUUCAAUGCAAUGAAAACUUUAUCUUCCGUUUGCAUUUGUAGUUUUAAUUUUUUUUUUGAACACCAUUGUAAUUUUAAUUUAUAAAGAUGUUUUGAACAAAUUGAAUGUGAUUUUCAAAACGGUGGGUUUGUUUUUUCUUGCACAGGAGGCAGUAUGAACGUUUGUUGCAAGAGAAACCCUAAGUUCAAGGUCAAAACUGGACCAAAGACAAAGUUUGCACCGAGAAGACACGGUGAUCUGAACAUAGUAUACGAUGUGUUGCAAUCAUUUGGCAGUAACUACUUAGCCCAAGUGACCAUCGACAACGAGAAUCCGCUGGGGCGUUUAGACCGUUGGAACCUAACAUGGGAAUGGACGCGAGGAGAGAUUAUAAACACGAUGCGAGGAGCUUACACUUACAAAAGAGAUCCAUCGGAAUGUCUUUACAGCAGAGCUGGACAAUAUUACAAAGACUUAGAUUUCUCUCAGGUCAUGAAUUGUCAGAAGAAGCCAGCCAUUUCUGAUUUGCCUCCUGAGAGGAAGGAUGAUAACGUGACGGGCAAGUUACCUUUCUGUUGCAAAAACGGAACUCUUUUGCCACCUCUUAUGGAUCCUUCGAAAUCUCGAUCUAUGUUUCAGUUGCAGGUAAAUAAUCUCUUUCGUUGAAAAGAUAUGUCCUGAAUCGCAUAUAGUUGGGUUAUAAAAUUUUAGUUGUCAUUCAGUGCUUGGUUUUAAACGACCAGGAGGACUUCCUGAGUUACUGGAUAACUUCUAGAUUAAAAUAAGUCAAAAGAAAUUAACAAAGUUAAAAUAAAUUAUCAAUGAAAUAAACUAAUAACUAAUCAAAUCAACCAAUUUUAGGUGUUGAGAAAUUUUUUAGGAUAACAUUUUUUAAGUUUUUGUCACAAAAAUAGUUUUUUUGAUCAAAAUAAAUUUUAUUAAAGGGUAUGGUUAACUAAUAUAGACUUAGAGUUUAAAGUUAAGGGAUGAGCUUUUGGAGAUAGGGUUUCAGAUUUAAAAAAAACAAAAAAUAAAAAUUAAAGUUUUCAAAAUAAAAAAGACUAUUUUUGUCAUUUUCUUUUUUGAAGGUUAUUUUUGUGACAAAAACUUAAAAAUGGCUAUUUGAAAGAAUUACCCUUUAGUUUUUCUAUUUAUCAUUAUGUUUUCAUCUUCUUCAAGGGGUUUAGUGGAAUUUUUCUUAAAAUUUAAAUUUACAUAAAAAUUUUUUUUAAAAAAAUAUAAAACUAUUUAAAUAAAAUAUUUAAAUAAUUUUUCGAUAUUCUUAUUAGUGUUUUUUUUUAUUUAAAUCUGAACCGCAUAGUACUUACUCACUAGGUUUGGUUCAACCAUGGUUCUUGGCCGGAUCUGAAAAUUUUGUUUUUUUUUUGUUCUUAUGUGCUAGGUUUUCAAGUUACCUCCGGAUCUAAACAGAACAGCUCUAUAUCCACCUCAACAUUGGAAAAUCGAUGGAGUUCUCAAUCCGCAGUACAAAUGCGGGCCACCGGUUCGGGUUGACCCAUCACAGUUCCCCGAUUCUAGCGGUCUGCCGGCAGUAACCUAUGCCAUCGCCAGUUGGCAAGUUGUCUGCAACAUAACCAAACCCAAAGCUCAGGCUUCAAGAUGUUGUGUCUCUUUCUCAGCAUUUUACAACAGUUCUGCUAUUCCUUGCAACACUUGUGCUUGCGGAUGCAAUGACAUUGAUACA
This 12229-nucleotide long non-coding RNA is filed under the name Brassica napus (rape). Its description in RNAcentral is "long non-coding RNA (BNAP_LNC000739)". Lineage: Eukaryota; Viridiplantae; Streptophyta; Magnoliopsida; Brassicales; Brassicaceae. The record is from RNAcentral.